CGGACGGGUGAGUAACGCGUGGAUAACCUGCCGUAUACUGGGGGAUAACACUUAGAAAUAGGUGCUAAUACCGCAUAAGCGCACAGUCUCGCAUGAGACGGUGUAGAAAACUCCGGUGGUAUACGAUGGAUCCGCGUCUGAUUAGCUUGUUGGGCGGGGUAACAGCCCACCAAGGCGACGAUCAGUAGCCGGCCUGAGAGGGUGAACGGCCACAUUGGGACUGAGACACGGCCCAAACUCCUACGGAAGGCAGCAG
Molecule: ribosomal RNA, 256 nt
Filed under: uncultured bacterium
Lineage: Bacteria
Description: partial 16S ribosomal RNA
Rfam family: Bacterial small subunit ribosomal RNA
Source: RNAcentral